CCCUUAGAUGUUCGGGGCCGCACGCGCGCUACACUGAAGGAAUCAGCACGUCUUUCUCCUUGUCCGAAAGGACUGGGUAACCCGCUGAACCUCCUUCGUGCUAGGGAUUGGGGCUUGUAAUUCUUCCCCAUGAACGAGGAAUUCCCAGUAAGCGCGAGUCAUAAGCUCGCGUUGAUUACGUCCCUGCCCUUUGUACACACCGCCCGUCGCUACCACCGAUUGGAUGGUUUAGUGAGAUCCUCGGAUUGGUCCCGGAGCGGCCUCUGGUCGUGCCGGAGUGCCGAAAAGAAUGUCGAACUUGAUCAUCUAGAGGAAGUAAAAGUCGUAACA
This 330-nucleotide ribosomal RNA is filed under the name uncultured eukaryote. Its description in RNAcentral is "partial 18S ribosomal RNA". It matches the Rfam family "Eukaryotic small subunit ribosomal RNA", at positions 1470 to 1796 of the family's 1831-position model. The record is from RNAcentral.